GGCGUCGUCGGGCACAUGGCGAUCGCGCUGCUGCUGCCGGCGCCGCUCGUGCUGGCCUACCGGUUCGAGCCGGGCGUCGUCA
This 82-nucleotide transfer RNA is filed under the name Actinomycetospora sp. NBRC 106375. Its description in RNAcentral is "tRNA-Ser". The record is from RNAcentral. Lineage: Bacteria; Bacillati; Actinomycetota; Actinomycetes; Pseudonocardiales; Pseudonocardiaceae.